RNAcentral lists this long non-coding RNA (1449 nucleotides) under Sus scrofa (pig). Its description in RNAcentral is "lncRNA (ENSSSCG00030074900.1)". The record is from RNAcentral. Lineage: Eukaryota; Metazoa; Chordata; Mammalia; Artiodactyla; Suidae.
CAGGAAGCCGCUGUGGGCGGGGCUGCUGCUGGGGCGGCGGCAUCUCGGGGCAUCUGGCGGCCUAGGCCCUGCAGAGGCCAGUCAGGCUCCUUGGGCUGGGGGGGCACACCUGCCUCAUCCCCACCCCCAACGUGGCGCACAGGCCCAGGCUGAUGGCGCUGAGCUUGGAGAAUCCCCGAUUCUGAGAUAGCGACACGUCCCAGAGGCUUUGAGAACAAAGUGGUCCCUCGGGGCCUCAGUCCGGGCACAGAUGGAAAGGAGACUGGGUCCCAGGGGCCCACGAGCCCUCCGGAGUGGGCACUCCAGGCCUGAGGGUUGAGCCCUGGGUCGUGACCUUCCUCCAGCAGGAUUUCUCUGGGGAGGUGGGCCGGGGACCAGGGGCUGGUGCUGGAGCCUCCAGGUCGGCUCGGGGACCUGCCUCAGCAGAGGCUGCACGGCCCGUACCUCAGCUGCCUGCGUGCUGAUGUGUGACCCCUGAGUGUGGUCAGGGAGCCCGCCCUCUUUCCUUAAAAACCUACCACACUCCCGGAUGCCCAUCUCUGUGCUGCAGGCUGGGAAUGACCAAGACAGGUCCUUAACUGGCACAUGACCUGGUCACAGGCGGUGGCUUGUGCUGAGGGCACAGCUGGGGCAGGGCGAGGACAGCCACGUGCCCUCCUGGAUGCCACUCGCUGGGCCAGAGGGGGCACAGGCUGUCUUGCCUCCAUGGCCCCAAUCCACCUGGAGACGUGCACACAGCAGGGCAAGCGGUGCCCACAUUGCCAACCCUGAGGGCAGGGCCACGGCGACCCCAUCAUGACUGCCAGAUUCCAGGUAGAAGGGAGGCUGACUUUAAAAACUGCACAACCUGAUCGUUGAGAGGUGACCAGGAGCGGGAUUGCUGGAUUGUACGGUAGCUCUGAUACGGGAAAGACGAUACCGGAUCCGGGCUCUUGUCCACGGCCGUCGAGGAAUGAACUCCGAGAACACACAGGGAGCAAGCAAGCAGAGCUUUUAUUACAGGAAAGCAGAUGGCUCCCAGACGGAGUCACGGGGCUUAGGGAUGAAUGUCCAUCUGGGAGCAGGUGCACUCCCUACCCUCAACAAGGCCCGUGGGGAUGCUCGUCCCCGGAGCCCUUAAGCCACAGGCGUUCAUCCGUGGCCACAUCGAAGAAGGUACGGAAGCCCCUGCUCCUGCACCGACGGCCUGGCUCCCGGCAACGCCGGAUCCUUAACCCACGGAGCGAGGCCAGAGAUGGAACCUGCAACCUCACGGUUCCCAGUCGGAUCCAUUUCCGCUGUGCCACGACGGGAGCUCCCUUUGUGUGCGUUUUGAGUGCCUCAAAGCCAUGUGGUCGGAAGGCCAGUUGUACAACGGGCCUCAGCCUCUGGGGCCUGUUCACGGCUGGGAGUCCAGCUGCCCCCUCUCACAGGCAAGACGACCAGGCCGAAGCUUUCCCACACCCUUGA